GAAAAAUUACCAAAAUGACCUUUCGGAUCAUUACAUCAUUCACUACUAAAAACCAUGUUCGUCCUCGAACAUAAAGUAAAAGAAAGUACCUGAAGCCUCGAAAAGCUGGGGAUAUCGGACCCGCAUAUCAUCCUCGGACUCCCAAGUCGCCUCCCUAUCUGAUCGAUGCCUCCACUGAACCUUCACUGAAACGAUGUCCUUGGUCCG
Molecule: long non-coding RNA, 207 nt
Filed under: Solanum tuberosum (potato)
Lineage: Eukaryota; Viridiplantae; Streptophyta; Magnoliopsida; Solanales; Solanaceae
Description: long non-coding RNA (STUB_LNC003732)
Source: RNAcentral